ACUCGAGUGGCGAACGGGUGAGUAACACGUGGGUGAUCUGCCCUGCACUUUGGGAUAAGCCUGGGAAACUGGGUCUAAUACCGAAUAUGAUCAUCGGCUUCAUGGUCGGUGGUGGAAAGCUUUUGCGGUGUGGGAUGGGCCCGCGGCCUAUCAGCUUGUUGGUGGGGUAAUGGCCUACCAAGGCGACGACGGGUAGCCGGCCUGAGAGGGUGACCGGCCACACUGGGACUGAGAUACGGCCCAGACUCCUACGGGAGGCAGCAGUGGGGAAUAUUGCACAAUGGGCGCAAGCCUGAUGCAGCGACGCCGCGUGAGGGAUGACGGCCUUCGGGUUGUAAACCUCUUUCAAUAGGGACGAAGCGCAAGUGACGGUACCUAUAGAAGAAGGACCGGCCAACUACGUGCCAGCAGCCGCGGUAAUACGUAGGGUCCGAGCGUUGUCCGGAAUUACUGGGCGUAAAGAGCUCGUAGGUGGUUUGUCGCGUUGUUCGUGAAAACUCACAGCUUAACUGUGGGCGUGCGGGCGAUACGGGCAGACUGGAGUACUGCAGGGGAGACUGGAAUUCCUGGUGUAGCGGUGGAAUGCGCAGAUAUCAGGAGGAACACCGGUGGCGAAGGCGGGUCUCUGGGCAGUAACUGACGCUGAGGAGCGAAAGCGUGGGGAGCGAACAGGAUUAGAUACCCUGGUAGUCCACGCCGUAAACGGUGGGUACUAGGUGUGGGUUUCCUUCCUUGGGAUCCGUGCCGUAGCUAACGCAUUAAGUACCCCGCCUGGGGAGUACGGCCGCAAGGCUAAAACUCAAAGGAAUUGACGGGGGCCCGCACAAGCGGCGGAGCAUGUGG
Molecule: ribosomal RNA, 843 nt
Filed under: Mycolicibacterium fortuitum
Lineage: Bacteria; Bacillati; Actinomycetota; Actinomycetes; Mycobacteriales; Mycobacteriaceae
Description: bacterial SSU rRNA
Rfam family: Bacterial small subunit ribosomal RNA
Source: RNAcentral